Molecule: ribosomal RNA, 507 nt
Filed under: uncultured Marinococcus sp.
Lineage: Bacteria; Bacillati; Bacillota; Bacilli; Caryophanales; Bacillaceae
Description: bacterial SSU rRNA
Rfam family: Bacterial small subunit ribosomal RNA
Source: RNAcentral
AUGAAGGUUUUCGGAUCGUAAAGCUCUGUUGACAGGGAAGAACCCACGYCAGUCGAACAGGCUGGCGUGCUGACGGUACCUGUCCAGAAAGCCCCGGCUAACUACGUGCCAGCAGCCGCGGUAAUACGUAGGGGGCAAGCGUUGUCCGGAAUUAUUGGGCGUAAAGGGCACGCAGGCGGUUUCGUCAGUCCGAUGUGACAGGCCACGGCUCAACCGUGGAAGGCCAUUGGAAACUGCGAAACUUGAGGACAGAAGAGGAGAGUGGAAUUCCACGUGUAGCGGUGAAAUGCGUAGAUAUGUGGAGGAACACCAGUGGCGAAGGCGACUCUCUGGUCUGUACCUGACGCUGAGGUGCGAAAGCAUGGGGAGCAAACAGGAUUAGAUACCCUGGUAGUCCAUGCCGUAAACGCUGAGUGCUAGGUGUUAGGGGUUUCGAUACCCGUAGUGCCGAAGCUAACGCAUUAAGCACUCCGCCUGGGGAGUACGACCGCAAGGUUGAAACUCAAG